UCGGGAAUUUUGGGCAAUGGGCGAAAGCCUGACCCAGCAACGCCGCGUGAAGGAUGAAGUAUUUCGGUAUGUAAACUUCGUAAGAAUAGGAAGAAUAAAUGACGGUACUAUUUAUAAGGUCCGGCUAACUACGUGCCAGCAGCCGCGGUAAUACGUAGGGACCAAGCGUUGUUCGGAAUUACUGGGCGUAAAGCGUACGUAGGCGGUGACUCAAGUCAGAGGUGAAAGCCUGGAGCUCAACUCCAGAACUGCCUUUGAAACUAGGUCGCUAGAAUCACGGAGAGGUGAGUGGAAUUCCGAGUGUAGAGGUGAAAUUCGUAGAUAUUCGGAAGAACACCAGUGGCGAAGGCGGCUCACUGGACGUGUAUUGACGCUGAGGUACGAAAGCGUGGGGAGCAAACAGGAUUAGAUACCCAAGUAGUCCCUGAGCGGGCUGGCAAGGCGCAU
RNAcentral lists this ribosomal RNA (447 nucleotides) under uncultured bacterium. RNAcentral describes it as "bacterial SSU rRNA". It matches the Rfam family "Bacterial small subunit ribosomal RNA", at positions 355 to 825 of the family's 1533-position model. The record is from RNAcentral.